AAAAUCAAGGACUUUUUUUUUUUUUAACCACUGCCUCCAGUUUAUGUAAAUAUAGAAUACAAAACUAUUUAAUAGAUGUGUUUAUAUCUUCUGUUUAUUUAGUUUCUUAUGGUUUUUUUUUUAAUUUUUUUUUUAAGAAAUUAUUAUCCAAAUUUUUUUUAAUCCAUCCACUUCAUACAGCUUCUGAAGACUCAAAUUGUCAAUAGUAAUGUUUUUAUUUUUUGCAACUGUUUAGAUAGUUUGUUUAGUAAUUUUUUAUCAAUAAAAUAUUUUGAUAUUUUAGGAACAAUGUAACCAAGGAAACUACUGUUAAAUCAGCUUUAAAUACCCUGUCAAUGCUAAAAAUUAUGCCAAUGUUAUUUAAAUGAUUUUAACUAAUGCAUCAAGUUUCUACACAUUUUUAGAGUACAACAAAAAUCCAAACAUUAAGUGUAUGUAAUGUAAUUUUAUAAACAGAUAAUUCUGCUAUAACACUAAUCUACAAAUUUUCAUUUUGUGAAAACUGCCAAUAUGCAAAUAGGUGUUUCUUACACAACUUUUUAUGGUUAGUCCAAAUAUGUAAUCCAAUUUUUUGUAUUACGUCAGGAUUUUUUGCAGUUCGACAUUUGUUAAUGUAGAUAAAUGUCAAUAAAACCAGCAACAAAAUGUGCUUCGGUCAUGCAGAAAACAAUUGGUAUUUACUGAAUUAAUGACAAAAGUAUAAUAUAAAAGCAUAUAUACAUUUAUGUAUUGUCUUCUACCGUGCAAAUUGUCUUUAGAGUGAUUUUCUCUUAUGAGCAGCACCGGGAUUAUGGCCUUUUAAUGAUCAGCAAUAGUCGGCCAUCAUAUUCACAUUCCAACAACCUUGGUAACAACUCUCAAUUGCGCGAAUGUCCUAAUGGAACCUUUCACCUUGCUCUUCACUGUAUGCACCAAGAUUUUCAGGAAAGUAGUCAUCGUGAGAGUCCAAAAAGUGCAACAUGACACUCAUGCGGCAACCUAAAACCUGAAAUUUGGCUACCAUGUUUUCAACAAGACUUUUGUAAUUGUCUGAUUUAAAGUUUCCUAAGAAUUUGUUGACAACAUCUUUGAAGACAUCCAGGCUUGCAGUUCAACUGUGGGUAAUUUUAAUAAAAACUCCUCAUUAUUCAUUACUCUCUGAUCUGCCCUCCAACAAAGAUACCUGAAGUCUAUUUUGCUUCACUUGAAUGUGGAAAUUGGUCUGACAAAUAUUGAAAUCCAGAGCCAAUAUGGUCUAUAUUUAUGACAAAAGCUUUUAUUAAACUCAAUUUUAUAUGGAGUGGUGGGAGGAAAACUUGAUGUGCUUAUACCGAAGGCUGUAACUUGACAUUGUGACUUCCUGGAGUAAAUUCUUCUCUCGCUGGCCACACUUUUUUGGCAUUAUGCUCAGAGUCUGCUCCGUUAUCUCAGAAGCACAAAAAACAUGGAAAUUUUUAAUACCCUCUUCGGAGUCUAAUAUGAUGGCUAUGACCUUUAAAUCUCCACAUAUCAACCACUUGUGCUGAUUAUAAUUCAACCAACUUAGCAACAGUUUCAUGUUUUCAUACGUCUCUUUUAGUGUUACCGAGUGUGCAACUGGAAGUAAUGAUAUUUUGUUUCCAUUAAAUAAAAGGACUGCCUUCAUACUGCGCUUUGAUGAAUCAAUAAACAAUCUUGAUCCUGAUUAAAAUCAGGAUCAAGAACAUCACUACUUCACAAAGUUUACAAAUAAAAUGAGGCGCCCAUGCUUUGUCCUGGUCUCCCAGUUUACAUCUAAAGUACGCAUGAUAAUAUUUCUUUGUUAAAUGUGAACUUUCUUCUCUGCCACUAUGCAAAAUUGUCCACAAACAUAACAAAACCUGUCUGCUAUAUUCGUACAAUAUCUUGGCAUUGUGAAACUUUUUUUGAAAUUAAAAUCUGAAACACACAAACAACAGCAAUAAAAUAUUCCAUUAAACUUGUAUUCAAAUAUAAACUGAUGAUAUAAGCCACUUAUAAUAAGCAAAAAAUUUGUUAACACAAAUUUGUGGUUUUCUCAAAAACCUUACGUGAUAACAAAAAGAGAAAUACAUCAAAAUUUAUUAUUUUUAAUAAGCUUUCAGAAGUUUAUAAUGUUUUUCAAAUGAUAAGUUUUUGAAACAGCUUUUGAUUGUUUUAGUGUUUCUCUUCAAUAACUACAAUUUGUCAAAUUAAUGUUUUCUUUUCUUUUUCUAAACCUUAAAGUUAAAUUAAGUAUAUUUAAUAUUGCUUUAUUCUAGUUUUAUUGCAUCAGAACAUAAAUUAUUUUAAAUUUGUUGUUUAUGAUAAUUUGAGAUAAAUUCUAUUUUGUGUUACUGCUAUAUAUUUUUUUAAGAUUUUCAGUUAGCAAUUACCUGGAUCUAUCCAGGCAACUGAAGUUUUUUAAAAAUAAUGAUAUACUUCUAUAUCUUUUGCAUAAUAAGUUUGAUUAUGCUAAUGUCUUUUUAAUUUCGUAUAGGUAUCAAGUGUUCCACAGACAGAUAAUCAAUCAAAUGAGGCACUUUCUUUCAUAACAGGUCAUUUCUUAUGAAUGCGUAAAUUUUUUGUGGAAUAAAUUCUAUUCAAUCUAAGUUGACAAGCCUUGAACAAAGACAGGGAAGGUUGGAAGAACGCCUUUGUAAUGAUCAUGUUGAUCAGAAUAUCAGCCAAAUCCAGUUCCCAAUUUUUAGUUCUGUACUGCAAUAUUCUGAAGUUGAAAAGCACUCAAACAGUAUGCUGUCAUGGAUGAUGCUUGAAGAAGGGUUGACUGCCUAUGACCAUAUUUUAAGAGUGCUUAUUAAGUUGCUGACACAUGAUAUGCAAAAAAAUGAUCAAAAGGCACGGAAAACAUGGCAAACUUAAGUUUUUCGAUCAAUAGAAAAUCUGCUUAAAAGUGAGUGAAAUUUAGAGCUACUUCGAAUAAUUUUGAUAUAAAAAAUAAAUUGAUAUUAUAUUUUAAAUAGUCUUGUGAGUAACUGAUUCGCUGUUUGAGACAAUAAAAUGAAGUAACGAAAGUUUAAAAUCUAUUGUUAUUAACAAUAUACUUAAUUUUAUACACAUAUUUAUAUUGUCGAUGUGAUUAUAUGUAACAGUCUCUUAAAUAAAUAGUAAUUAUUAAGUGAUUAU
Long non-coding RNA from Hydra vulgaris (swiftwater hydra), 3102 nucleotides. RefSeq lists it as uncharacterized. NCBI's taxonomy places the organism in Eukaryota, Metazoa, Cnidaria, Hydrozoa, Anthoathecata, Hydridae. The record is from RefSeq and is a predicted model, not a curated record.